AACUGCCUGAUGGAGGGGGAUAACUACUGGAAACGGUAGCUAAUACCGCAUACGUCGCAAGACCAAAGAGGGGGACCUUCGGGCCUCUUGCCAUCAGAUGUGCCCAGAUGGGAUUAGCUAGUAGGUGGGGUAAUGGCUCACCUAGGCGACGAUCCCUAGCUGGUCUGAGAGGAUGACCAGCCACACUGGAACUGAGACACGGUCCAGACUCCUACGGGAGGCAGCAGUGGGGAAUAUUGCACAAUGGGCGCAAGCCUGAUGCAGCCAUGCCGCGUGUGUGAAGAAGGCCUUCGGGUUGUAAAGCACUUUCAGCGAGGAGGAAGGUGGUGAGUUAAUACGUUAUCAAUUGGACGUUACUCGCAGAAGAAGCACCGGCUAACUCCGUGCCAGCAGCCGCGGUAAUACAGAGGGUGCAAGCGUUAAUCGGAAUUACUGGGCGUAAAGCGCACGCAGGCGGUUUGUUAAGUCAGAUGUGAAAUCCCCGGGCUCAACCUGGGAACUGCAUUUGAAACUGGCAAGCUAGAGUCUCGUAGAGGGGGGUAGAAUUCCAGGUGUAGCGGUGAAAUGCGUAGAGAUCUGGAGGAAUACCGGUGGCGAAGGCGGCCCCCUGGACGAAGACUGACGCUCAGGUGCGAAAGCGUGGGGAGCAAACAGGAUUAGAUACCCUGGUAGUCCACGCUGUAAACGAUGUCGAUUUGGAGGUUGUGCCCUUGAGGCGUGGCUUCCGGAGCUAACGCGUUAAAUCGACCGCCUGGGGAGUACGGCCGCAAGGUUAAAACUCAAAUGAAUUGACGGGGGCCCGCACAAGCGGUGGAGCAUGUGGUUUAAUUCGAUGCAACGCGAAGAACCUUACCUACUCUUGACAUCCAGAGAACUUAGCAGAGAUGCUUUGGUGCCUUCGGGAACUCUAGACAGGUGCUGCAUGGCUGUCGUCAGCUCGUGUUGUGAAAUGUUGGGUUAAGUCCCGCAACGAGCGCA
RNAcentral lists this ribosomal RNA (978 nucleotides) under Serratia marcescens. RNAcentral's name for it is "bacterial SSU rRNA". It matches the Rfam family "Bacterial small subunit ribosomal RNA", at positions 124 to 1100 of the family's 1533-position model. Lineage: Bacteria; Pseudomonadati; Pseudomonadota; Gammaproteobacteria; Enterobacterales; Yersiniaceae. The record is from RNAcentral.